AUGUACUCCUUUGCUCAAUGUGCUGCCCCCUGUGGUCAAACCCGUGGUCACUCCUGUGGUCACUCCUGUGGUCACUCCUGUGGUUGCUGCUCACGCGAUGGGCCCUCUGAUGAAGGUGUUGUGUUCCGUUCCAGGCCAAGAAGGAACUGGCCUCGGGGGGGAAGCAGCAGCCGAGCCGAGAGCCAGCGCUGGCCCCCCCGAAAGAGCUGGACGCCUUUGGGAAGAAGGCCAAGAAGGAGCCGGCCUCAGGGGGGAAGCAGCGGCAGGGGGGGGCGCACCCCAGACACCUCUCCGCCUGGGGCAAGAAGCAACGUCUGCUCGAGAAGGACGUCACCGACAGCGACCUCCACGUCAUGGCCACGAUCUUGUCAGCUGGCUUGGUGGACGUGGACCCCUCCUGCCUGCAGCACCUCAAGGAGUUCCGUGACCUCUGGGGAUCCUCCACCUGAAGGCCGCCCAAAUACCUGCUGAUGCUAAAGACUUGCUAAUGCUAACAUGCUGCUGAUGCUGAAGGACCACCAAUGGAUCACUAAUGAACCAGUAGUGGACCACCAAUGCCAGUCAGCUGCCAGCGAGCUGCUAAUGGUUCACUAGCAUCACCUGGACAUCGCCAUGCGGAGCUAGAUGCUUUGGCCAAAGGAGACUCCCCUGUUGGCCACCUUUCAGGACCCCAACCCCCAACAUUAUUGUGUCAUUUGAGGUUCCGGGUGUGAAUGAAUUUGAUUGACCUCCAGUGACAUUUGCGUUCAUUCAUUUCUCUGCUGCCAUGUCUGCCUUUCCCCUUUGUAGUUGAACUUCCAUAAAGUCCCACUCCUGACCAUUAUGUGGGGGGCAUCUUUCUAUAGACUCCACCCCAAAGUGAACUAGCCAAUCAUAACCUUUGCACCGUUUUUGUUAUUGUACCCAAUAAAGUGACGGUACUUUGCUC
This 928-nucleotide long non-coding RNA is filed under the name Scleropages formosus (Asian bonytongue). RNAcentral's name for it is "lncRNA (ENSSFOG00015032181.1)". The record is from RNAcentral. Lineage: Eukaryota; Metazoa; Chordata; Actinopteri; Osteoglossiformes; Osteoglossidae.